Molecule: non-coding RNA, 26 nt
Filed under: Mus musculus (house mouse)
Lineage: Eukaryota; Metazoa; Chordata; Mammalia; Rodentia; Muridae
Source: RNAcentral
UGAGUUUUGCAAUCUGGAGGAGCAGC